Canis lupus familiaris (dog) is the source of this 1403-nucleotide long non-coding RNA. RefSeq lists it as uncharacterized. NCBI's taxonomy places the organism in Eukaryota, Metazoa, Chordata, Mammalia, Carnivora, Canidae. The record is from RefSeq and is a predicted model, not a curated record. The transcript has 3 exons.
CUCCAAGUUCCCUCUUCUCCUCUCAGUUGGCAACCAGCAACGUCUGAGAUGGUGAUAGCUCAUCAUCAAGUAACCUGGAUCCCUAAAUGGCUCUGGCCAACUCCCACUUAUCCUUGAGGACUCAGCUCAGACAUCACCUCGGAUAGGAAUUAUCCACAUCCAUGAAACACCACCUCUGCAAGAGGCCCUGCAUCAUUUUCUUCCAUGUGGCCAACCCACCACACCUGGCUCGUAUCAAGUGUGUGCUAAACUGAAUGGAAUUCAGGGCAAGGUAUCGGAACUAACAGGAUCUGCCUUGACUAGUGGCUGCCCAGGGAAGAUGGGCUCAAAUGAGAAACUGCAGACGAGCCUCUCUGAGUCACUGCACGCUGAUGGCCCUGGGCAGAAAGCUGCCAAAGUGGGUAAAUCCUGGAAGAGUGAAGCCCAGGUGCUGACUGGGCCAAUUUAAAGGAGCUAGCCUGGUUGGGACCCAUCCCGGUGGUUCCCCAGCCAUCAUUUUUUGUCUUCAUGCUUUUGUCCAUUCUGGUCUUUUACCACGAAGUCUUCUCCUAGACUGACCCCUGCCAUCCAAAUCCUAUAUGUUUCAAAAAGUCACUUUUCAGAGGCCACCUGUGAGGUCUGUAACAUUUGCUCUGAAUCUCUGUCAUGGAACCAUGUGAGAUGGUAGUUGAGAUGUAUAUAUAUAAUCUUCUUGACUGCGUUGGAAGCACUGGAAGCAACCCUGAAGGAUGGGAGGGGGCACCAUGUUAUACCUGCCCCUUGGCCCCUAGUACAAAGUUUUAUGUGGACAUGACAAGAGGAGGCCCACAGGAAGUGAUGAAAGAAGACAAAAGAGAGUUGUGACCGUUAAAUAGUGUGAAUCCAGAAGGUGAAGGGAGAAGAUGGCGGCAAGGUGCGGUGGAAGGGAGGGUUUUGUCAUGGAGUAGAAAUUGAUCUAGGCCCUGAAGGAUGGUUCAGAAGAUCAGAUGAAAGGUCACCAGCAUGUUCUCAGAGCUUUCUUAAUUAAAGUCAGUGCUGACAUUUCCUGGAUAGGAUAAAAGUGACUCAUGGGUGGAGCAGGCCAAUCAUGAUCAACUGUCAAUCUUGCUGGUACUUUCAGUUUAUCCCCAACAGAACUUUCUGGAGUGUGUGCACCAACCAGGGAGUGAGGAGUACAUAGUCAGCAAGGCCUUGGCUUCUCUCCUAGACCCAGUUCACACCAAGAAAGGAACAUCAAGCACAAAGCCAGGGAGGGAGUGAAAGGCAGAAAUGCUGUCAGAGUGGGCCCAGCAUCUCCUAACCCAGUUUUUCUGCUGGCUUGAAGCAGAGUUGUGAUGAGGCCAAUGCCUGACCAGUCUGGCAGUCACAUCCUAAAAUCAAAGAGGGAAUAGCCCGACAGGUGGAAUCCAUGUCUUUCCCGCAAA